Perognathus longimembris pacificus (Pacific pocket mouse) is the source of this 272-nucleotide long non-coding RNA. RefSeq lists it as uncharacterized. NCBI's taxonomy places the organism in Eukaryota, Metazoa, Chordata, Mammalia, Rodentia, Heteromyidae. The record is from RefSeq and is a predicted model, not a curated record. The transcript is spliced from 4 exons.
AUUUCUAGAUUCUGGUGAUGGACAGCAGGGGGCGCCACCAUGCCUUUGAAUUGGCUUUUGAAGACCUUCAUUCACUGCAUUCAAACAAUAUUUAAAAAAUUUAGUAUAAGUUAGAAAGAGCACUUAUUUUGUUGAUAAUCAUUUUUUAACUACAUUAUAAGGAUUAGCUUUGACAAAUCUCACUGCUGUUGUUUUCUACACUGGUUGUCUAAUAGUAUUUAUUCACAUUUAGGAAAACACAUGAAAAGACUGUGUUAUAAAUCUAUGUUCAA